AUUGAACGCUGGCGGCAUGCCUUACACAUGCAAGUCGAACGGUAACAGGUCUUCGGAUGCUGACGAGUGGCGAACGGGUGCGUAAUACAUCGGAACGUGCCCGAUCGUGGGGGAUAACGAAGCGAAAGCUUUGCUAAUACCGCAUACGAUCUACGGAUGAAAGCGGGGGAUCUUCGGACCUCGCGCGGACGGAGCGGCCGAUGGCAGAUUAGGUAGUUGGUGGGAUAAAAGCUUACCAAGCCGACGAUCUGUAGCUGGUCUGAGAGGAUGAUCAGCCACACUGGGACUGAGACACGGCCCAGACUCCUACGGGAGGCAGCAGUGGGGAAUUUUGGACAAUGGGCGCAAGCCUGAUCCAGCCAUGCCGCGUGCAGGAUGAAGGCCUUCGGGUUGUAAACUGCUUUUGUUCGGAACGAAAAGGUGCCUUCUAAUAAAGGGCGCUCAUGACGGUACCGUAAGAAUAAGCACCGGCUAACUACGUG
Molecule: ribosomal RNA, 482 nt
Filed under: uncultured bacterium
Lineage: Bacteria
Description: partial 16S ribosomal RNA
Rfam family: Bacterial small subunit ribosomal RNA
Source: RNAcentral